This 253-nucleotide ribosomal RNA is filed under the name uncultured bacterium. RNAcentral's name for it is "partial 16S ribosomal RNA". It matches the Rfam family "Bacterial small subunit ribosomal RNA", at positions 524 to 776 of the family's 1533-position model. The record is from RNAcentral.
UACGUAGGGGGCAAGCGUUGUCCGGAUUUAUUGGGCGUAAAGAGCGUGUAGGCGGCUUCACAGGUCCGUUGUGAAAACUCGAGGCUCAACCUCGAGACGCCGGUGGAAACCGUAAGGCUAGAGUCCGGAAGAGGAGAGUGGAAUUCCUGGUGUAGCGGUGAAAUGCGCAGAUAUCAGGAGGAACACCGGUGGCGAAGGCGGAUCUCUGGGCCGAUACUGACGCUGAGGAGCGAAAGCGUGGGGAGCGAACAGG